Molecule: non-coding RNA, 145 nt
Organism: Populus trichocarpa (black cottonwood)
Lineage: Eukaryota; Viridiplantae; Streptophyta; Magnoliopsida; Malpighiales; Salicaceae
Source: Rfam
UCUAGAACUCGAGAUAUGAGCUGAACAUCGAACAAUGUAUGGGCUACAUGACAUAUUCAAACUUCUCUUUUGUUGCUAAGAUUUGAACUUGAAAAUGACAGCUUUGAAUCUUGGACUUUUAAUGCCUAUGUUUUAUCUUUCCAUC